Non-coding RNA from Sarcophilus harrisii (Tasmanian devil), 52 nucleotides. NCBI's taxonomy places the organism in Eukaryota, Metazoa, Chordata, Mammalia, Dasyuromorphia, Dasyuridae. The record is from Rfam.
GGGAAACGGAAUGAGGCCCCAGCUCCAGGGCCCGCAAAAAACACUUGGGGUA